RNAcentral lists this RNase P RNA (382 nucleotides) under Candidatus Dojkabacteria bacterium. RNAcentral describes it as "RNase P RNA component class A". It matches the Rfam family "Bacterial RNase P class A". From Rfam's summary of the family: Ribonuclease P (RNase P) is a ubiquitous endoribonuclease, found in archaea, bacteria and eukarya as well as chloroplasts and mitochondria. Its best characterised activity is the generation of mature 5'-ends of tRNAs by cleaving the 5'-leader elements of precursor-tRNAs. The record is from RNAcentral.
UUAUCCAUUCUAGGAAAUCGCUCGUUUAAAAAUUUAAAUUGAGAGGAAAGUCUGAACUCUAUUUCGGUCCCGUAUGUCUUAUAGAUAACGGGAUAGGUACCUUAAAGUCUACUUGCUUUAUGCUUAGUAGAAAAAGAGGCUGGGAGCAAUCUUAGGGUAUAAACUCAUCGAGGAAUCUAAGAGGGCAACAGAAAAAUACUGCCAUGUACCUUGGUAUAUGGUGAUGGUGAAAUGGUGGUGUAAGAGACCACCGGCUCUUCUGGUAACAAAAGAGUGCUGGUAACCCCUACCUAGAGCAAGUUGAUUUAACCAACGCAUAGAUAGAUGAUUUCCAUCCCGAUUUAUCGGGAGACAGGAUUCGGCUUAUUGAAUGGAUAAAAAA